Molecule: ribosomal RNA, 245 nt
Filed under: uncultured Ancalomicrobium sp.
Lineage: Bacteria; Pseudomonadati; Pseudomonadota; Alphaproteobacteria; Hyphomicrobiales; Ancalomicrobiaceae
Description: partial 16S ribosomal RNA
Rfam family: Bacterial small subunit ribosomal RNA
Source: RNAcentral
UACGAAGGGGGCUAGCGUUGUUCGGAAUCACUGGGCGUAAAGCGUACGUAGGCGGACCGUUAAGUCGGAGGUGAAAUCCUGGGGCUCAACCCCAGAACUGCCUUCGAUACUGGCGGUCUCGAGUCCGGAAGAGGUGAGUGGAACUGCCAGUGUAGAGGUGAAAUUCGUAGAUAUUGGCAAGAACACCAGUGGCGAAGGCGGCUCACUGGUCCGGUACUGACGCUGAGGUACGAAAGCGUGGGGAG